GGAUUUACUUAAUGUAUUUUCUCAUUGACAAACUAAUGAUGGCGCGGGUAAUUGGCCUCCAGAUGUUUUCAGUUAGUCAUUUAGAAUAUUUGGCGACCUAGUGUGCCAUAAUUUGAGUCAAGAGACAUGACACCGUAAUGCCUCCUUUCAGAUAGUCUUGACGUGAAAUGACUUCAGAUAGGUUUAUAUCAUUUGAGUGCGACUAUUUUCUCUCCCCUGCGAAAUUCAACUGCAGGAUAUUGUCCGUCACCCUAUAGGCCUAGACUAGGGAAACGCAUUUCCCAAAAGGUCCAUGCGCAGAACACUACCACACAGUCCCUUCCUACGAAUGUGACCAAAGCUGACUUCACGAAUUCCUCGAUGCUCAACGUCAGUACCACGAACGUCAGUACCACGAACGUCAGUACCACGAACGUCAGUACCACGAACGUCAGUACCACGAACGUCAGUACCACGAACGUCAGUACCACGAACGUCAGUACCACGAAUGUCUCCAUUCCUCAAGGAGCCAGUGUGACCUUGCAGUCCAGUGCAUUCACGCUCCUCAUCCCUGUGGUGGGCUCGCUCCUACAGGGCUGCUUCUAGAGGGUUCAUCUGCACUGAACAAAAGCCAAGACUAACAUCGGCAGCCUAGAUGUGCAAAUGUUUUACAAAGAGCACAUUAAUUCUCGGAAGGUAGACAUUUGCGCACCUAAGCUGCGGGAUUCGGCGGCAUGGGCAAAAACACUACUUUGUGCUCGCACCUCCUGGCUGCUUCAAACCGUAGGCCUACACUCUGCUCACUGGCCCCAAGGCCAUGGCCUGGCAACAAGCUGUCUCACUGCAGAAUGGGACAUUUGUCCAUAUACCUUUUUGAGGUUUAGGCAUUAAUUCACAAAUGGGUAAGGUUUGGGAUAGGGUCAAGUCAUUUAAAGUGCCUAGCACUGGGAUUGAACACAUGACUAAUUAAUGGUAAUAGUGCUCACCGUUGCCCCUAGUGGCCAAUUUUGAAGUAAUCUCCUGACAUCCUGCUUACCUGGAAAGAUGUCUAAUUUUGCAGUGGUUCUUUAGUGACCUGGCUGUUGCCUCCAUGGAGGCAGGCCAUGAGGCUCUAUUAAACUCUAUUCUUUGACUCAAUAUUGUGUAAUUGCAGACUGCAAUUCAUGGGGUUUCUGGAUAUCAGGAGAAGCACAUUGGUGCCUGGUUUUCCUGGUAAAACACCCUGAAUUUGUCAGUUCUGGUGUUGAGACCGUUUCUUGACAUUUGUUUACAAGGCAGGUAAGGAUAGUUAACGUGGUCGGUAAGGAUAGUUAACGUGGUCGGUUAGGUGACUUUGUGUGCCAGGUUAGGAGAAUGAGGUAAAGUGUUAGCUUUAGAUACUGUUGUCCCCAACGUGAACUACAUGGCCACGGACCAGUGGUGCGCGUCAAAGUGCGUUUCUUAAUCAAGUUACGCCCCUACUCCUUUGCUUCACUUGGUCCCACUGUUCCUGAUUUCAGACAGCAGAGUUUAUCUUGUGUACAUUUUGGCUGUGCCUGGGGAAAUCAGCAACUGUUUGAGGUGCAUUGGAAAAUAACAGCCUAUAUUUGUCUGAUCUGUGGCACUUAUGUCCUUAACAGUGCUAUUCUUAAUCCUGCAACUGCAAUGGAUACUUUGUCAGAGGCUUGAUGUAGCCUACACUUGUGAUGAACUUAUUGCAUUUUAUAUUGUAAACAUGUGACUUAUGUAAGUCAGUGAUGCUUUUAGAUCUCUUUAUGUCAGGUUCAAUAAAGCUUUGAAAUGUGUUUGUCAUGAUUAAUAUUUAAUGUCCUUGUACAAUAAAAUAUGACAUUUAAUAUAACUAACUUAUCCUGUCAAUUCCAAAGCUUGGCAUUCAUUGGCUUUUCUUGUCUGUCUUACAAAUCCAAUGCUGCAGGUCUUUCUCAA
Molecule: long non-coding RNA, 1905 nt
Organism: Oncorhynchus tshawytscha (Chinook salmon)
Lineage: Eukaryota; Metazoa; Chordata; Actinopteri; Salmoniformes; Salmonidae
Source: Ensembl